This 1482-nucleotide ribosomal RNA is filed under the name uncultured bacterium. Its description in RNAcentral is "partial 16S ribosomal RNA". It matches the Rfam family "Bacterial small subunit ribosomal RNA". The record is from RNAcentral.
GAGUUUGAUCCUGGCUCAGGAUGAACGCUAGCGGGAGGCCUAACACAUGCAAGCCGAGCGGUAUUGUUUCUUCGGAAAUGAGAGAGCGGCGUACGGGUGCGGAACACGUGUGCAACCUGCCUUUAUCUGGGGGAUAGCCUUUCGAAGGGAAGAUUAAUACUCCAUAAUAUAUUGAACGGCAUCGUUUAAUAUUGAAAGCUCCGGCGGAUAGAGAUGGGCACGCGCAAGAUUAGCUAGUUGGUGAGGUAACGGCUCACCAAGGCAAUGAUCUUUAGGGGGCCUGAGAGGGUGAUCCCCCACACUGGUACUGAGACACGGACCAGACUCCUACGGGAGGCAGCAGUGAGGAAUAUUGGUCAAUGGGUGCAAGCCUGAACCAGCCAUCCCGCGUGAAGGACGACUGCCCUAUGGGUUGUAAACUUCUUUUGUAUAGGGAUAAACCUUUCCACGUGUGGAAAGCUGAAGGUACUAUACGAAUAAGCACCGGCUAACUCCGUGCCAGCAGCCGCGGUAAUACGGAGGGUGCAAGCGUUAUCCGGAUUUAUUGGGUUUAAAGGGUCCGUAGGCGGACUUAUAAGUCAGUGGUGAAAGCCUGUCGCUUUACGAUGGAACUGCCAUUGAUACUGUAAGUCUUGAGUAUAUUUGAGGUAGCUGGAAUAAGUAGUGUAGCGUGAAAAUGCAUAGAUAUUACUUUAGAACACCAUUUGCGAAAGGCAGGUUACCAAGAUAUAACUGACGCUGAGGGACGAAAGCGUGGGGAGCGAACAGGAUUAGAUACCCUGGUAGUCCACGCCCUAAACGAUGAUAACUCGAUGUUGGCGAUAGACAGCCAGCGUCCAAGCGAAAGCGUUAAGUUAUCCACCUGGGGAGUACGCCCGCAAGGGUGAAACUCAAAGGAAUUGACGGGGGCCCGCACAAGCGGAGGAGCAUGUGGUUUAAUUCGAUGAUACGCGAGGAACCUUACCUGGGCUUAAAUGGGGAACGACAGCAGCCGAAAGGUUGCCUUCUUCGGACGUUCUUCAAGGUGCUGCAUGGUUGUCGUCAGCUCGUGCCGUGAGGUGUCGGGUUAAGUCCCAUAACGAGCGCAACCCUUAUCGUUAGUUGCCAGCGGGUCAAGCCGGGGACUCUAGCGAGACUGCCACCGUAAGGUGUGAGGAAGGUGGGGAUGACGUCAAAUCAGCACGGCCCUUAUGUCCAGGGCUACACACGUGUUACAAUGGCCGAUACAAAGGGCAGCUACCCCGUGAGGGGAUGCUAAUCUCUAAAGUCGGUCUCAGUUCGGAUCGAAGUCUGCAACCCGACUUCGUGAAGCUGGAUUCGCUAGUAAUCGCAUAUCAGCCAUGAUGCGGUGAAUACGUUCCCGGGCCUUGUACACACCGCCCGUCAAACAAUGGAAGCUGGGGGUACCUGAAGUCUGUAACCGCAAGGAGCGGCCUAGGGUAAAACUAGUAACUGGUGUUAAGUCGUAACAAGGUAACCGUA